UACACUACCUCCAACCGUUCGUGCACCU
RNAcentral lists this small RNA (28 nucleotides) under Bombyx mori (domestic silkworm). RNAcentral describes it as "ovarian small RNA-20226". The record is from RNAcentral. Lineage: Eukaryota; Metazoa; Arthropoda; Insecta; Lepidoptera; Bombycidae.